RNAcentral lists this ribosomal RNA (497 nucleotides) under uncultured bacterium. RNAcentral describes it as "partial 16S ribosomal RNA". It matches the Rfam family "Bacterial small subunit ribosomal RNA", at positions 28 to 507 of the family's 1533-position model. The record is from RNAcentral.
GAUGAACGCUGGCGGCGUGCCUAAUACAUGCAAGUCGAGCGAACGGACGAGAAGCUUGCUUCUCUGAUGUUAGCGGCGGACGGGUGAGUAACACGUGGAUAACCUACCUAUAAGACUGGGAUAACUUCGGGAAAACGGAGCUAAUACCGGAUAAUAUUUUGAACCGCAUGGUUCAAAAGUGAAAGACGGUCUUGCUGUCACUUAUAGCUGGAUCCGCGCUGCAUUAGCUAGUUGGUAAGGUAACGGCUUACCAAGGCAACGAUGCAUAGCCGACCUGAGAGGAUGAUCGGCCACACUGGAACUGAGACACGGUCCAGACUCCUACGGGAGGCAGCAGUAGGGAAUCUUCCGCAAUGGGCGAAAGCCUGACGCAGCAACGCCGCGUGAGUGAUGAAGGUCUUCGGAUCGUAAAACUCUGUUAUUAGGGAAGAACAUAUGUGUAAGUAACUGUGCACAUCUUGACGGUACCUAAUCAGAAAGCCACGGCUAACUACGUG